NNNNNNNNNNNNNNNNNNNNNNNNNNNNNNNNNNNNNNNNNNNNNNNNNNNNNNNNNNCACGCACACACCCCGUGGGUCUUGCACAUGUGUCUGUGCACACACAGCCCUCGGAACACGCGCACAGCUGCUUGCACGCUCCCUGGAACACGCACGUAUGCACACGCGUGUGUGAUGCAUGCACGCCUCUGGGACAUGCACGUGCACACACGCGCAGCCCCGGAGCUUGCACACGUGUAUGCACGUGCACACCCCUUGGAACAUGCACAUACGCACACACACAGCUGCAUGCACAGCCCUGGAGCUUGCACACGUGUCUGCGCACACACAGCCUUGGCACAUGCACACGUGGGCACACGCAGCUGCUUGCACGCCCCUUGGAGCGCGCAAACACACACACACAUGCGCCUGCACGCACAGCCCUGCAGCUUGCACACGUGCAUGCACCUCCCUCGGAAUAUCUGCACGCACACGGACGUGCUUGCACACCCCUCAGGCACACCCACGUGCACACACUGGGGCACGCACGCAGCCAGAUAUCUGCUUGUGCAGCGCGUACAACACACACGGGCCCCACACCUGCACACGGACGCAGCCGUGCAUGCACACACCUGCAAGCACACACAUGUGUGUACAGGUGUACACACCUGUAGGUGUACACACGUGCGUGCAUCCAAACGCAUCCCCCCACGCACAGGCUCCCCCACGCACCCCCGCUUGCACGCCCCGUGCACCGUCGCACACGCACGGCCCCGGCUUGCAGCGCGCACACGCAGCGCCCGCCGCCAGCGCCCCAGCACCACGCGCCUCGGCGCCUGGCUGCAAAGAAAUUUUCCUGCAGGAAAUCCUGAGUGGUUUUGCAAAUCGCCCCCCCCGGGAGCAGCAGCGGGGUGCUGGAAGCUUGCUCCAUCAGCAGCGCUCCCACGUUUUGCAGCAGGGGCCAGCCCGGAGGGGACACUUUUGCAGCGGGGGGGUGCGCGCAUCCCCACGGGCACGCGGGGACAGACGUGCACACACACGCGCGCACGUGCAGCCAGAUCCACGCGCGCACGAGCUGCUGCGGGUUUGCACACCCAGAAGCGCGGGGUCUGUGCGCAGAGGGGUGUCCCGCAGGAGCUCUAUGGGGGGAGCACCCGGGGUCGCAGAGCGCACCGAGCCCUCUCUGAGCUUUGGGGUUUUUCCUGCUCGUUGCCUGUUGUUGUUUCGUAAGCGACUGGAAGCAAUUAGUUGCCGUGAGGCCGAGUGUUGGCUCGGGGAGCGUUGGUCACACCAGGCCGGGAAAGCGGAAAAGCGGGAGAUGCCGCAAACACCGCAGGGCGCUGUGACAACGGGGUGACAACGGUGACAACAACAACGGGCCACGUGGCGGUGACAGCCGCCACAUCCGCGCUUCGAGGGCUCUGCUAGGAGCAGGGCUGACCCGAAGCGGGUGGAGGACGGGGAUGGGGAUCCAGAAAGGAGCAAGGGGUCAGGGGUCAGGGCAGAGCUGGGGGGGACGGCGGUGACAGCUCCACGAUGGGGCCGUGUCCGUGCUGCUGAGUGUGACACGGGUCUGAUAAGCAUCGGUUGUGGGGAAGGCAGAGGG
Numida meleagris (helmeted guineafowl) is the source of this 1583-nucleotide long non-coding RNA. NCBI's taxonomy places the organism in Eukaryota, Metazoa, Chordata, Aves, Galliformes, Numididae. The record is from Ensembl.